UACGGAGGGUGCAAGCGUUGUCCGGAUUUACUGGGUUUAAAGGGUGCGCAGGCGGUUAUGUAAGUCAGUGGUGAAAUCUCCGGGCUUAACCCGGAAAUUGCCGUUGAUACUAUAUAUCUUGAAUGCUGUGGAGGUAAGCAGAAUAUGUCAUGUAGCGGUGAAAUGCUUAGAUAUGACAUAGAAUACCUAUUGCGAAGGCAGCUUACUACGCAGAUAUUGACGCUCAUGCACGAAAGCGUGGGGAUCAAACAGG
This 253-nucleotide ribosomal RNA is filed under the name uncultured bacterium. Its description in RNAcentral is "partial 16S ribosomal RNA". It matches the Rfam family "Bacterial small subunit ribosomal RNA", at positions 524 to 776 of the family's 1533-position model. The record is from RNAcentral.